Molecule: ribosomal RNA, 437 nt
Filed under: Streptococcus sp. oral taxon 071
Lineage: Bacteria; Bacillati; Bacillota; Bacilli; Lactobacillales; Streptococcaceae
Description: bacterial SSU rRNA
Rfam family: Bacterial small subunit ribosomal RNA
Source: RNAcentral
GACGAACGCUGGCGGCGUGCCUAAUACAUGCAAGUAGAACGCUAAAGAGAGGAGCUUGCUCUUCUUGGAUGAGUUGCGAACGGGUGAGUAACGCGUAGGUAACCUGCCUGGUAGCGGGGGAUAACUAUUGGAAACGAUAGCUAAUACCGCAUAAAAUGGAUUGCCGCAUGAUAAUCCAUUGAAAGGUGCAAAUGCAUCACUACCAGAUGGACCUGCGUUGUAUUAGCUAGUUGGUGGGGUAACGGCUCACCAAGGCGACGAUACAUAGCCGACCUGAGAGGGUGAUCGGCCACACUGGGACUGAGACACGGCCCAGACUCCUACGGGAGGCAGCAGUAGGGAAUCUUCGGCAAUGGACGGAAGUCUGACCGAGCAACGCCGCGUGAGUGAAGAAGGUUUUCGGAUCGUAAAGCUCUGUUGUAAGAGAAGAACGAGUG